UACGUAGGGUCCGAGCGUUGUCCGGAAUUAUUGGGCGUAAAGGGCUCGUAGGCGGUCCGUCACGUCGGGAGUGAAAACUCAGGGCUCAACCCUGAGCGUGCUUCCGAUACGGGCGGACUAGAGGUAUGCAGGGGAGAACGGAAUUCCUGGUGUAGCGGUGGAAUGCGCAGAUAUCAGGAGGAACACCGGUGGCGAAGGCGGUUCUCUGGGCAUUACCUGACGCUGAGGAGCGAAAGCAUGGGGAGCAAACAGG
Molecule: ribosomal RNA, 253 nt
Filed under: uncultured bacterium
Lineage: Bacteria
Description: partial 16S ribosomal RNA
Rfam family: Bacterial small subunit ribosomal RNA
Source: RNAcentral